RNAcentral lists this ribosomal RNA (719 nucleotides) under uncultured bacterium. RNAcentral describes it as "bacterial SSU rRNA". It matches the Rfam family "Bacterial small subunit ribosomal RNA", at positions 98 to 838 of the family's 1533-position model. The record is from RNAcentral.
GCGGACGGGUGAGUAACGCGUGGGUAACCUGCCCUGUACACACGGAUAACAUACCGAAAGGUAUGCUAAUACGAGAUAAUAUGCUUUUAUCGCAUGGUAGAAGUAUCAAAGCUCCGGCGGUACAGGAUGGACCCGCGUCUGAUUAGCUAGUUGGUAAGGUAACGGCUUACCAAGGCGACGAUCAGUAGCCGACCUGAGAGGGUGAUCGGCCACAUUGGAACUGAGACACGGUCCAAACUCCUACGGGAGGCAGCAGUGGGGAAUAUUGCACAAUGGGCGAAAGCCUGAUGCAGCAACGCCGCGUGAGCGAUGAAGGCCUUCGGGUCGUAAAGCUCUGUCCUCAAGGAAGAUAAUGACGGUACUUGAGGAGGAAGCCCCGGCUAACUACGUGCCAGCAGCCGCGGUAAUACGUAGGGGGCUAGCGUUAUCCGGAAUUACUGGGCGUAAAGGGUGCGUAGGUGGUUUCUUAAGUCAGAGGUGAAAGGCUACGGCUCAACCGUAGUAAGCCUUUGAAACUGGGAAACUUGAGUGCAGGAGAGGAGAGUGGAAUUCCUAGUGUAGCGGUGAAAUGCGUAGAUAUUAGGAGGAACACCAGUUGCGAAGGCGGCUCUCUGGACUGUAACUGACACUGAGGCACGAAAGCGUGGGGAGCAAACAGGAUUAGAUACCCUGGUAGUCCACGCCGUAAACGAUGAGUACUAGCUGUCGGAGGUUACCCC